GAGAUGAACAUUAGAGAUACUAAUGUUUCAUAAAAGAGAUUAGAUUAUUAAUCGAGGUUUCUUUUAUAACUUCUCACCAAUUCUUCAUAACGAUGAAUGUCCUUUUGGGAAGUAACGACUUGAGGGAGAGAGUGACGUUACUCAUUGAUACAGAGACACAACGAGGUUGAGCUGAUGUGAUGAUGGUGCUGCAAUGAGCGGAGUCUCCAGGGUUGUUAAUAAAUAGUUAACCUGUCUAGAAUAUGUCUUCAUACAUAUGUCUAGCUACUUUCCGCUGCAAGAUGUUGUUGAUGUUAUAGUAUGUUAUGUCAUACUUUGAGUCUUAAGAGAAUGGUUGCAUAUGAUGUAUAACUUGAUUAAUGAUAUUAAUUAACUUUUAUGCAGUCUUUCAUAGACUGUUUUCAAUUGAGUAUUAAUGAAUAAAAAUGACGAGUUUUAUUAA
Molecule: long non-coding RNA, 442 nt
Organism: Salvia miltiorrhiza (redroot sage)
Lineage: Eukaryota; Viridiplantae; Streptophyta; Magnoliopsida; Lamiales; Lamiaceae
Exons: 2
Source: RefSeq, a predicted model, not a curated record